Molecule: non-coding RNA, 281 nt
Filed under: Cephalotus follicularis
Lineage: Eukaryota; Viridiplantae; Streptophyta; Magnoliopsida; Oxalidales; Cephalotaceae
Description: Bacterial large subunit ribosomal RNA
Rfam family: Bacterial large subunit ribosomal RNA
Source: Rfam by way of RNAcentral
CUUUCCGUCGUAAAGCCCUAGGUUUUAGAGACAUAGUGAGACAAUGGGGGAUAAGGUUCAUCGUCGAGAAGGAAACAGCCCGGAUCACUAAUAAAGGCCCCUAAAUGACCGCUUAGUGAUAAAGUAGGUAAGGGUGCAAAGACAGUCAGAGGUUUGCCUAGAAGCAGCCACCCUUGAAAGAGUGUGUAAUAGCACACUGAUCGAGCACUCUUACGCCGAAGAUGAACGGGGCUAAGCGAUCUGCCAAAGCUGUGGGAUGUAAAAAUGCAUAUGUAGGGGAG